CUGGACAUGCCAAAAUUGACCAGCUCAUCUUCGAGUUCCUCCAGCAAUGCUACUUCCCCGUUGGAGGAGCUCUCUAUAUCAGCCACUCGCCUGCUCGUCUUCAUGAUGCUCGCCUCGGCCUGUAAAUCCAUAAAAUUUAUUUAAGCCAGAUAAGAAUUUUAUCAGUAACUCUCGCUCUCUGGAACAAAUGUGGACCAACUAAACUGAAUAUUCUACUCCCUUUGUUCCCAAAUAUUUUUCUUUCUAGAGAUUUCAACAAGUGACUACAUACGAAGCAAAAUGAGUGAAUCUACACUCUAAAAUAUGUCUCCUUACAUCUGUAUGUCGUAGUCUGUUUGAAAUGCUUAGAAAGACAAAUAUUUAGGAAUAGAGGGAGUACAUCAGACCAGAAUCUUGACAAAUUAAUAACUGACAAAUGCAGACCAAACUGAACAGAAUAUUCUACACGAGAACAAAUCUUUGGAAUAAAUGUAGACCAAAAUAAACCGAAGAAACAUAUAACUUUGUUUUUACCUUCAUAACAGGCAGCAUGACCAGAAUCACAUCCCGUGAGAAGCCAUAAACCUAGAAACUGCAUCAGUUAGAAAGACUGCAUAGACAUGGCACAUGUGCAAAUAUUUGUCCAAUUACAAAAUAAGAAAGGGAUAUUACCAGCGCAUUUUGUUAUACUGCUUGGUUAUGUUAAAAUGGUACACAAAAUCGUAUUGGUAGAUGAAGAAACACAAUGCAAGAUCUUUAAGUCCCCUCUUUUUAUCCUUCUCUGAAUCCAUGUCCCUUCUUUUUCAUCCCUCUCUCUGAAUCUAGAUCCUAGCAAUGAUCACGCUUCCAGUCCCCUCUUUUUCAUGCCUCUCUCUCAAACACACAUGACACAUUGCAGCAAACAUAACACAUCAACUACUGUAAUUGAAAACUGAAGCUGUGACUCUCUAUUAUCCAAUUUCAGUAACCAUAAACUCGGUGCCUAGAAGCAAAGAUCUCAUAAAUGCACAUACACAUGAUCACAAAUUGUAUCAUCUAAAUGCAAGAACAAAGUGGAGGAAAGAGAGAGGAUGUAGAGGCAAACCUGAACUUCCUCGAGCUCCUUGCUCCUGCUGCUCUAGUCGGAGACCCUCCCUCAACCGCCGUCCACAUCCGCAACUGCCGCUGAAAUGUAAUGAAGGCCUCCCAUGAAAGGAAAUUAAUAUCUAUAUAUGAGAAAU
This 1199-nucleotide long non-coding RNA is filed under the name Triticum aestivum (bread wheat). RNAcentral's name for it is "long non-coding RNA (TAES_LNC020914)". Lineage: Eukaryota; Viridiplantae; Streptophyta; Magnoliopsida; Poales; Poaceae. The record is from RNAcentral.